AUACAUCACAUAUAAUAUCUAAAAAAUAGAAUUUAAAUUGAACUAUUCAAAAUAAAAACUAUUCUAGACAAGUUACUAGAAUAAUUCUACAACUAGUCUAGGCAUGCAACAGAUCAAUUUUAUGAAAUAAUUAAAAUUUUAUUUUUUAUUUUCUGAUAUGAUUAUAACAAUUAUAAUAUUAAAAAAAUAAAGAAUAAAUUAGAUUUAAUUCAUAUUUU
This 218-nucleotide long non-coding RNA is filed under the name Elaeis guineensis (African oil palm). RNAcentral describes it as "long non-coding RNA (EGUI_LNC061772)". The record is from RNAcentral. Lineage: Eukaryota; Viridiplantae; Streptophyta; Magnoliopsida; Arecales; Arecaceae.